This 787-nucleotide ribosomal RNA is filed under the name uncultured Bacillota bacterium. Its description in RNAcentral is "bacterial SSU rRNA". It matches the Rfam family "Bacterial small subunit ribosomal RNA", at positions 9 to 799 of the family's 1533-position model. The record is from RNAcentral. Lineage: Bacteria; Bacillati; Bacillota.
AGGGAGUUUGAUCCUGGCUCAGGACGAACGCUGGCGGCGUGCUUAGACACAUGCAAGUCGAACGAGGUUUACUGGAGAGCUUGCUCGAAGGUAAACCGAGUGGCGGACGGGUGAGUAACGCGUGAACAAUCUGUCUCAUACAGGGGGAUAACGCAUCGAAAGAUGUGCUAAUACCGCGUAGGACCACGGCUUCGCAUGGAGCUGAGGUGAAAGGAGUAAUCCGGUAUGAGGUGAGUUCGCGUCUGAUUAGAUAGUUGGUGAGGUAACGGCCCACCAAGUCAACGAUCAGUAGCCGACCUGAGAGGGUGAUCGGCCACAUUGGGACUGAGACACGGCCCAGACUCCUACGGGAGGCAGCAGUGGGGAAUAUUGGGCAAUGGGCGGAAGCCUGACCCAGCAACGCCGCGUGAAGGAAGAAGGUUUUCGGAUCGUAAACUUCUGUCCUAUAUGAAGAUAAUGACGGUAGUAUAGGAGGAAGCCCCGGCUAACUACGUGCCAGCAGCCGCGGUAAUACGUAGGGGGCGAGCGUUGUCCGGAAUGAUUGGGCGUAAAGGGCGCGUAGGCGGCCGAUUAAGUCUGGAGUGAAAGUCCUGUUUUCAAGAUGGGAAUUGCUUUGGAUACUGGACGGCUUGAGUGCAGGAGAGGUUAUCGGAAUUCCCGGUGUAGCGGUGAAAUGCGUAGAGAUCGGGAGGAACACCAGUGGCGAAGGCGGGUAACUGGACUGCAACUGACGCUGAGGCGCGAAAGUGUGGGGAGCAAACAGGAUUAGAUACCCUGGUAGUCCCCU